Molecule: long non-coding RNA, 372 nt
Filed under: Ricinus communis (castor bean)
Lineage: Eukaryota; Viridiplantae; Streptophyta; Magnoliopsida; Malpighiales; Euphorbiaceae
Description: long non-coding RNA (RCOM_LNC000396)
Source: RNAcentral
CCAAAACGAAUAAUAGAAUAAAUUCCAAUUACAGAGGCUUACUUUAAUCAUGAUUCAUGUCACCCCUUUACAGCUUGGAGCCAUACAGAAGCUGACCCACAUAACAGAAUAAACAGAAAUUUAAAUUCGGAGCCCAACCAAAUACAGAGACACUCAAAUUCAGCGGCUCCUCUCCUUAGAAUUGCUUCCUCUACGAGUAUGAAAUAACAUGCACCAUUCUCAUGAUCAUAUUGUGCUAACUCUGAUAAUGCCCCUUCCUGUGAUUCAGUGCCCUACGAUACUGUGAUUUCGGAAACUGAGAAGUAUAGAUUCAUGAGAGGUAUACUGCUGAUAAUUUCUACACUCAGUGUUAUUUUCAGUGCCUUUUGAUUU